AUUGAACGCUGGCGGCAGGCCUAACACAUGCAAGUCGAACGGUAACAGGAAGAAGCUUGCUUCUUUGCUGACGAGUGGCUGACGGGUGAGUAAUGUCUGGGAAACUGCCUGAUGGAGGUGGAUAACUACUGGAAACGGUAGCUAAUACCGCAUAAUGUCGCAAGACCAAAAAGGGGGCCCUUCGGGCCUCUUGCCAUCGGAUGUGCCCAGAUGGGAUUAGCUAGUAGGUGGGGUAACGGCUCACCUAGGCGACGAUCCCUAGCUGGUCUGAGAGGAUGACCAGCCACACUGGAACUGAGACACGGUCCAGACUCCUACAGGGAGCAGCAGUGGGGAAUAUUGCACGAUGGGCGCAAGCCGGAUGCAGCCAUGCCGCGUGUAUGAAGAAGGCCUUCGGGUUGUAAAGUACUUUCAGCGGGGAGGAAGGGAGUAAAGUUAAUACCUUUGCUCAUUGACGUUACCCGCAGAAGAAGCACCGGCUAACUCCGUG
RNAcentral lists this ribosomal RNA (490 nucleotides) under uncultured bacterium. RNAcentral describes it as "partial 16S ribosomal RNA". It matches the Rfam family "Bacterial small subunit ribosomal RNA", at positions 30 to 507 of the family's 1533-position model. The record is from RNAcentral.